Molecule: ribosomal RNA, 433 nt
Filed under: uncultured bacterium
Lineage: Bacteria
Description: partial 16S ribosomal RNA
Rfam family: Bacterial small subunit ribosomal RNA
Source: RNAcentral
AACGAACGCUGGCGGCAUGCCUAACACAUGCAAGUCGAACGAGACCUUCGGGUCUAGUGGCGCACGGGUGCGUAACGCGUGGGAACCUGCCCUUAGGUUCGGAAUAACUCCCCGAAAGGGGUGCUAAUACCGGAUAAUGUCUUCGGACCAAAGAUUUAUCGCCUUUGGAUGGGCCCGCGUUGGAUUAGCUAGUUGGUAGGGUAAAAGCCUACCAAGGCGACGAUCUAUAGCUGGUCUGAGAGGAUGAUCAGCCACACUGGGACUGAGACACGGCCCAGACUCCUACGGGAGGAAGCAGUGGGGAAUAUUGGACAAUGGGCGAAAGCCUGAUCCAGCAAUGCCGCGUGAGUGAUGAAGGCCUUAGGGUUGUAAAGCUCUUUUACCCGGGAUGAUAAUGACAGUACCGGGAGAAUAAGCCCCGGCUAACUCCGUG